Molecule: ribosomal RNA, 424 nt
Filed under: uncultured bacterium
Lineage: Bacteria
Description: bacterial SSU rRNA
Rfam family: Bacterial small subunit ribosomal RNA
Source: RNAcentral
GGGCCCGCACAAGCGGUGGAGCAUGUGGUUUAAUUCGAUGAUACGCGAGGAACCUUACCAGGGCUUAAAUGCAGUAUGACAGAUUUGGAAACAGAUUUUUCUUCGGACAUAUUGCAAGGUGCUGCAUGGUUGUCGUCAGCUCGUGCCGUGAGGUGUCAGGUUAAGUCCUAUAACGAGCGCAACCCCUAUUUCUAGUUGCCAGCACAUAAUGGUGGGGACUCUAGAGAGACUGCCGGUGCAAACCGUGAGGAAGGUGGGGAUGACGUCAAAUCAUCACGGCCCUUACGUCCUGGGCUACACACGUGCUACAAUGGUAGGGACAGAGAGCAGCCACUUCGCGAGAAGGAGCGAAUCUACAAACCCUAUCUCAGUUCGGAUCGCAGUCUGCAACUCGACUGCGUGAAGCUGGAAUCGCUAGUAAUCG